Molecule: ribosomal RNA, 475 nt
Filed under: uncultured bacterium
Lineage: Bacteria
Description: bacterial SSU rRNA
Rfam family: Bacterial small subunit ribosomal RNA
Source: RNAcentral
UACAUGGCAAGUCGAACGAGGUAGCAAUACCGAGUGGCGAACGGGUGAGUAACACGUAGGUAACCUGCCCUUAAGCUUGGGAUACCCAGAGGAAACUUGGCUAAUACCGGAUAACAACAGAGAAGGCAUCUUCUUUGCUUGAAAGGCCCCUUCAAGGGUCACUUAAGGAUGGACCUGCGGCGCAUUAGCUAGUUGGUGAGAUAACAGCCCACCAAGGCGAGGAUGCGUAGCCGAACUGAGAGGUUGAUCGGCCACAUUGGAACUGAGACACGGUCCAAACUCCUACGGGAGGCAGCAGUAAGGAGUUUUCGGCAAUGGGGGAAACCCUGACCGAGCAACGCCGCGUGAGCGAUGACGGCCCUAUGGGUUGGUUAAAAACGCUCUGUUGUAAGCCAUGAAUGAUAGCUUGAGGAAAUGCAAGCUAUUUGACGACAGCUUACCAGAAAGCCACGGCUAACUACGUGCCAGCCGCUGC